CCUACGGGAGGCUGCAGUGGGGAAUAUUGGACAAUGGGGGGAACCCUGAUCCAGCCAUGCCGCGUGUGUGAAGAAGGCCCUCGGGUUGUAAAGCACUUUCAGUGAGGAAGAACGCCUGGUGGUUAAUACCCAUCAGGAAAGACAUCACUCACAGAAGAAGCACCGGCUAACUCCGUGCCAGCAGCCGCGGUAAUACGGAGGGUGCGAGCGUUAAUCGGAAUUACUGGGCGUAAAGCGCGCGUAGGUGGCUUGAUAAGCCGGUUGUGAAAGCCCCGGGCUCAACCUGGGAACGGCAUCCGGAACUGUCAAGCUAGAGUGCAGGAGAGGACGGUAGAAUUCCCGGUGUAGCGGUGAAAUGCGUAGAGAUCGGGAGGAAUACCAGUGGCGAAGGCGGCCUUCUGGACUGACACUGACACUGAGGUGCGAAAGCGUGGGUAGCAAACAGGAUUAGAUACCCGGGUAGUC
This 465-nucleotide ribosomal RNA is filed under the name Vreelandella stevensii. Its description in RNAcentral is "partial 16S ribosomal RNA". It matches the Rfam family "Bacterial small subunit ribosomal RNA", at positions 338 to 795 of the family's 1533-position model. Lineage: Bacteria; Pseudomonadati; Pseudomonadota; Gammaproteobacteria; Oceanospirillales; Halomonadaceae. The record is from RNAcentral.